Molecule: ribosomal RNA, 253 nt
Filed under: uncultured bacterium
Lineage: Bacteria
Description: partial 16S ribosomal RNA
Rfam family: Bacterial small subunit ribosomal RNA
Source: RNAcentral
UACGAAGGGUGCAAGCGUUACUCGGAAUUACUGGGCGUAAAGCGUGCGUAGGUGGUUUGUUAAGUCUGAUGUGAAAGCCCUGGGCUCAACCUGGGAACGGCAUUGGAAACUGGCUUACUAGAGUGCGGUAGAGGGGUGUGGAAUUCCCGGUGUAGCAGUGAAAUGCGUAGAUAUCGGGAGGAACAUCUGUGGCGAAGGCGACUUCCUGGACCAAUACUGACGCUCAGGUGCGAAAGCGUGGGGAGCAAACAGG